AUAUAACGGAUAAAGGAAACGUGAUAAAAUUCGUGGAUAUAAUCGUUGGAGAACAGGUGUCGGGUAGAUUUUCUGAUUUAUACACUUUAUUGAAAUGUUACCACCACACAGGCAAGCAAACGUAGAUAUCUUUAAACGAGCGAAAUAUUCAUUUUUGACGAUAAUAGGUAGGAACGUCGAGUUAUCGCUAUCUAUACGGCAAUAUAUAUAUAUAUACAGCUUUAAAAGAAAAAAAAAAAGACUUAACAACGUAUUGCCGGAAUAGACUAAUCUAAAAACGGGCAACAUUAAAAACAUUUUUCAGUUGAUAAAAGUAAUGCGACACGUCGAGAUCUUGUAAACCCGUCUUGGUCCCCCUCUCCAAGUAGAAAAUAACUUGGAGAUCGUCGUACAAGAUAAAAAUUAUAUAAAAAAAAAAAAAAAAAAAAUAAACACCAUU
Molecule: long non-coding RNA, 439 nt
Organism: Apis dorsata (giant honeybee)
Lineage: Eukaryota; Metazoa; Arthropoda; Insecta; Hymenoptera; Apidae
Exons: 2
Source: RefSeq, a predicted model, not a curated record